RNAcentral lists this ribosomal RNA (249 nucleotides) under Campylobacter coli. RNAcentral describes it as "partial 16S ribosomal RNA". It matches the Rfam family "Bacterial small subunit ribosomal RNA", at positions 1 to 246 of the family's 1533-position model. The record is from RNAcentral. Lineage: Bacteria; Pseudomonadati; Campylobacterota; Epsilonproteobacteria; Campylobacterales; Campylobacteraceae.
UUUUUAUGGAGAGUUUGAUCCUGGCUCAGAGUGAACGCUGGCGGCGUGCCUAAUACAUGCAAGUCGAACGAUGAAGCUUCUAGCUUGCUAGAAGUGGAUUAGUGGCGCACGGGUGAGUAAGGUAUAGUUAAUCUGCCCUACACAAGAGGACAACAGUUGGAAACGACUGCUAAUACUCUAUAUUCCUACUUAACACAAGUUGAGUAGGGAAAGUUUUUCGGUGUAGGAUGAGACUAUAUAGUAUCAGCU